Molecule: ribosomal RNA, 567 nt
Filed under: Aspergillus fumigatus
Lineage: Eukaryota; Fungi; Ascomycota; Eurotiomycetes; Eurotiales; Aspergillaceae
Description: eukaryotic LSU rRNA
Rfam family: Eukaryotic large subunit ribosomal RNA
Source: RNAcentral
CAACAGGGAUUGCCUCAGUAACGGCGAGUGUAGCGGCAAGAGCUCACAUUUGAAAGCUGGCCCCUUCGGGGUCCGCGUUGUAAUUUGCAGAGGAUGCUUCGGGUGCAGCCCCCGUCUAAGUGCCCUGGAACGGGCCGUCAUAGAGGGUGAGAAUCCCGUCUGGGACGGGGUGUCUGCGUCCGUGUGAAGCUCCUUCGACGAGUCGAGUUGUUUGGGAAUGCAGCUCUAAAUGGGUGGUAAAUUUCAUCUAAAGCUAAAUACUGGCCGGAGACCGAUAGCGCACAAGUAGAGUGAUCGAAAGAUGAAAAGCACUUUGAAAAGAGAGUUAAACAGCACGUGAAAUUGUUGAAAGGUUAGCGUUUGCGACCAGACUCGCCCGCGGGGUUCAGCCGGCAUUCGUGCCGGUGUACUUCCCCGUGGGCGGGCCAGCGUCGGUUUGGGCGGCCGGUCAAAGGCCCUCGGAAUGUAUCUCCUCUCGGGGUGGCUUAUAGCCGAGGGUGCAAUGCGGCCUGCCUGGACCGAGGAACGCGCUUCGGCUCGGACGCUGGCGUAAUGGUCGUAAAUGAC